CGCCGGAAGUAUCGCUGUUCGAACGAAAUUUAAAUCAGCCGCUUGUUCCCGUCGAGAACCUCGGUUACCUCGGUGCCCCGGCAUCGGCAACACCAACUCAGAAGUGACUAGGCAGCCCACAAACUCCUCAUUCUCAUUUAGGUGCUUCAGCAUUCGAUUCGAUUCCGUUGUUGCGUUGCUCCUUGGGCCAAUGAAAUGAAAAAGCGAGCACAAGUGGUAGUGUGUUCUGUGGCGAGCAGUGAGCGACCACUUUGCAGCGGCUACGGUGCUCAAACCCACGAGUGACCCGGCUGUACUCGGACCAUUUCGGGCUUGCAGCUUACCUUGAUCGUGACCUGAUCUGCCAGUGAUGCCGAGGACACACCGGGCUCCCCAAGGUGCUGCUGCCUCCAGCUCUGCUUCAAAGAUGGCCGACUACCAGCACAGCCCCGCACAUCGUGGUCGCCUGGCAAACGAGCCAGUUAAUUUGUACGUCGCUUCAGCAUGGCCACUGCCGAAUGGCUCACCUCAUGGCCUGGAAGACUCUGAAAAAGACAGGCUAGGUCACGCACAUGCGAGCGGUACAGUCAGCCCUGUAUCCAAGACCACCAGUACCCAAUUAAGCGAAAGUCCAUGCUGUGGGCCAGCCCAGGAGCUUUUUUGGGACCCCCGCACGGCCCCUGCCAACAGCUUCGCCUACUUCUCAUAAAAAGGGGUCCGGUAAACAGAGGCUUCGCCAGUUCUGGGCACAGGUCUUGGAGAAACCUGAUACAGCACUUCUCUUGUCACCAAGCCGGCAACGACCACAGGUGGCUGAUCGUAGGGUUGAUAAGAAGACAAGCAAGUGCUUGUCGACAAACAUUAAAGGUA
Rhipicephalus microplus (southern cattle tick) is the source of this 849-nucleotide long non-coding RNA. Lineage: Eukaryota; Metazoa; Arthropoda; Arachnida; Ixodida; Ixodidae. The record is from RefSeq and is a predicted model, not a curated record.